UUGGGUUGUAGAAAGCCUACUUCAACACAACAAAUAUUAGGUUAAUCUCAAUCUCAUCUUCCUAGUUCAGCCGCUGCAGCCACCAGAUGUAACACUCAUUUUGUUACUCACAUUCAACCACUUCAUCUUUCUUGUUCGGCUGAGUUAUUUCUCUCUUCUCCCUUCCUUGUUAGUUUUAAAGUUUUUUGAGAGGUAGCAUAAUAUAAUCGUAGGGGUAACGUAACACAUAGAAGGUAAAAAGAAAAUCAAAUUGGCCGGAAAAGUUAAGGGGUAUCGGAGACUACCCCUCCCAUCACACUAGAUCCGCCUCUGAAUAUGGAAACAUAUAGAUCUAUCUAAAGGUAUACUACAACAUAUAAUAUGGAAAAAGUAUAUGUGCAAACUUAGCAUCACGACAAAGAAACAAGCAAUGAUGAACUGAAUGUGCAGAAUCAAGUAGGAAGAAGAAGAAGAAGAAUUAUCCAGCAGCUAUAGCGAAACUUAAAACAAAUUUUAAUUAAAUAAGUAAAAUACCUUAUAUAGCUUAGAUGCGAUCUUUCUUCAAAAUCUCUGAUGAUAACACUGAGUUUUAAUUAACGAGAUGAGUAAAAGGAUAGAUAGAAGGGGGGUUUUAUAAAUGUAAUGUUAUUAUAGCCGACAGCAUUUCCCAUAUUUCCUUUUCAUUCAUACUUUUUUCUUUUCAGUGUAACUUUAUGAUGGGAUACCCACUACUACAAAAUCUUUAAUAAUAUUAUAUAAAAAGUCGAGCAGGUGACUGAAGAUGCUUUUUAUGGAAAGCUAGAAAUGAGAUGAUUUUUGAGGGUCGCUUCAUCCCGGUAGGCAAUAUAGUCGAGCAGUUAUGUUGUAAUCUGGUGUCGUGAUUUGCUUCGGCUCUGCGUCUUUUUGCUGUUUUUUCUUUCCGUUUUCUUUUCCUGUUGUUUGUUUCUCAGCCUCUGGCUGGCUCUUUAUAUAUAUAUAUAUAAAGUGUGUUUGCUGUUAAAAAAAAAAAAAAAAAUAUUAUAUAAAAAGUGGCUUC
Molecule: long non-coding RNA, 1015 nt
Filed under: Helianthus annuus (common sunflower)
Lineage: Eukaryota; Viridiplantae; Streptophyta; Magnoliopsida; Asterales; Asteraceae
Description: hypothetical non coding rna
Source: RNAcentral